This 65-nucleotide transfer RNA is filed under the name Caenis sp. JYZ-2020. RNAcentral describes it as "tRNA-Leu". It matches the Rfam family "tRNA". Rfam says of the family: Transfer RNA (tRNA) molecules are approximately 80 nucleotides in length. Their secondary structure includes four short double-helical elements and three loops (D, anti-codon, and T loops). The record is from RNAcentral. Lineage: Eukaryota; Metazoa; Arthropoda; Insecta; Ephemeroptera; Caenidae.
ACUAUUUUGGCAGAAAAGUGUAUUAGAUUUAGAAUCUAAAAAUGAAGAUUAAUCUUCAAAUAGUA